CGAGUGGCGGACGGGUGAGUAAUGUCUGGGAAACUGCCUGAUGGAGGGGGAUAACUACUGGAAACGGUAGCUAAUACCGCAUAACGUCGCAAGACCAAAGAGGGGGACCCUCGGGCCUCUUGCCAUCGGAUGUGCCCAGAUGGGAUUAGCUUGUUGGUGGGGUAACGGCUCACCAAGGUGACGAUCCCUAGCUGGUCUGAGAGGAUGACCAGCCACACUGGAACUGAGACACGGUCCAGACUCCUACGGGAGGCAGCAUG
Molecule: ribosomal RNA, 260 nt
Filed under: uncultured bacterium
Lineage: Bacteria
Description: partial 16S ribosomal RNA
Rfam family: Bacterial small subunit ribosomal RNA
Source: RNAcentral